This 254-nucleotide ribosomal RNA is filed under the name uncultured bacterium. RNAcentral's name for it is "partial 16S ribosomal RNA". It matches the Rfam family "Bacterial small subunit ribosomal RNA", at positions 524 to 776 of the family's 1533-position model. The record is from RNAcentral.
UACGUAGGGAGCAAGCGUUGUUCGGAUUUACUGGGCGUAAAGGGCGCGUAGGCGGCGCGGUGAGUCACUUGUGAAAUCUCUGAGCUUAACUCAGAACGGCCAAGUGAUACUGCAGUGCUAGAGUGCAGAAGGGGCAAUCGGAAUUCUUGGUGUAGCGGUGAAAUGCGUAGAUAUCAAGAGGAACACCUGAGGUGAAGACGGGUUGCUGGGCUGACACUGACGCUGAGUGCGCGAAAGCCAGGGGAGCAAACGGG